GUUUUCGUUAUUUUAACCUUAUGCAGUGAUUACGGUACCACGAACAACUAUUUUACGUUAUUGCUGUUAGACAUACACAGUUAGUUGGCCUGAUCAGAGCGGUACAUGUAAGUGCUGGUACAAGUAACGUAACGCAUUUUAAAAUGUUGCCUGUUUAUUAGGAGAGACUGUUAUUGGCAUGUCAUAGCACAGAACUAACGUAUUAUCUUUCUCCUUUUAAGUAACAAGCUUCUCCUGUGCAGUCAAAUCAGUCCCUGUCUUCAUCCUUUGACUCCAGUGACUAGUGACAGGAUACACUCAUUAUUGAAGAAAGGUCUUCCAGUAAACGAAUGAGACUAGAUGAUGGAGCUAAAAGUACAUCACCAACAAGGAAGGUGAACGAAAACUAUGCCAGAGGAAUUGUGCCUUUGUUCCUGUACCUCAGUGUCCCCUUCUUCAAAAAUGACUAUGAGCAUUACUAUGAUGUUGGUAAGAGUGCCACCGGAUACUUGCUAUGGAGAAUCAAAACUAAACUGAGAGGCAUUUCUAACGAGGAAU
Molecule: long non-coding RNA, 537 nt
Organism: Sinocyclocheilus grahami
Lineage: Eukaryota; Metazoa; Chordata; Actinopteri; Cypriniformes; Cyprinidae
Exons: 3
Source: RefSeq, a predicted model, not a curated record